Molecule: ribosomal RNA, 1038 nt
Filed under: uncultured Eubacterium sp.
Lineage: Bacteria; Bacillati; Bacillota; Clostridia; Eubacteriales; Eubacteriaceae
Description: bacterial SSU rRNA
Rfam family: Bacterial small subunit ribosomal RNA (bases 1-576)
Source: RNAcentral
AUUCGAUGCAACGCGAAGAACCUUACCUACUCUUGACAUCCAGAGAAUUAGCCAGAGAUGGCUGAGUGCCUUCGGGAGCUCUGAGACAGGUGCUGCAUGGCUGUCGUCAGCUCGUGUUGUGAAAUGUUGGGUUAAGUCCCGCAACGAGCGCAACCCUUAUCCUUUGUUGCCAGCGAUUCGGUCGGGAACUCAAAGGAGACUGCCGGUGAUGAAACCGGAGGAAGGUGGGGAUGACGUCAAGUCAUCAUGGCCCUUACGAGUAGGGCUACACACGUGCUACAAUGGCGUAUACAAAGAGAAGCGAGCCUGCGAGGGGAAGCGGACCUCAUAAAGUACGUCGUAGUCCGGAUUGGAGUCUGCAACUCGACUCCAUGAAGUCGGAAUCGCUAGUAAUCGUAGAUCAGAAUGCUACGGUGAAUACGUUCCCGGGCCUUGUACACACCGCCCGUCACACCAUGGGAGUGGGUUGCAAAAGAAGUAGGUAGCUUAACCUUCGGGAGGGCGCUUACCACUUUGUGGUUCACGCUGGCGGCGUGCCUAACACAUGCAAGUCGAACGGAGUUAAAUAAAAGCUUGCUUUUAUUUAACUUAGUGGCGGACGGGUGAGUAACACGUGGGUAACCUGCCCUAAACACAGGGAUAACAAUGAGAAAUCAUUGCUAAUACCGGAUAAGCUUACAAUAACACAAGUUAUAGUAAGAAAAGAUUUAUCGGUUUAGGAUGGGCCCGCGUCUGAUUAGCUAGUAGGUGGGGUAAUGGCUCACCUAGGCGACGAUCCCUAGCUGGUCUGAGAGGAUGACCAGCCACACUGGAACUGAGACACGGUCCAGACUCCUACGGGAGGCGGCAGUGGGGAAUAUUGCACAAUGGGCGCAAGCCUGAUGCAGCCAUGCCGCGUGUGUGAAGAAGGCCUUAGGGUUGUAAAGCACUUUCAGCGAGGAGGAAGGAUGAAGUGUUAAUAGCACUUGAUAUUGACGUUACUCGCAGAAGAAGCACCGGCUAACUCCGUGCCAGCAGCCGCGGUAAUACGGAGGGUGC